Molecule: guide RNA, 86 nt
Filed under: Cloning vector pBM026
Also listed under: 1 other name
Rfam family: Trans-activating crRNA
About the family: RNA-guided Streptococcus pyogenes Cas9 (SpCas9) is a sequence-specific DNA endonuclease, the Trans-activating CRISPR RNA form an hybrid with the crRNA (crRNA/tracrRNA). The RNA hybrid acts as a guide for the endonuclease Cas9.
Source: RNAcentral
GUUUAAGAGCUAUGCUGGAAACAGCAUAGCAAGUUUAAAUAAGGCUAGUCCGUUAUCAACUUGAAAAAGUGGCACCGAGUCGGUGC